Molecule: ribosomal RNA, 492 nt
Filed under: uncultured bacterium
Lineage: Bacteria
Description: partial 16S ribosomal RNA
Rfam family: Bacterial small subunit ribosomal RNA
Source: RNAcentral
AGUGAACGCUGGCGGUAGGCCUAACACAUGCAAGUCGAACGGCAGCACAGUAAGAGCUUGCUCUUACUGGUGGCGAGUGGCGGACGGGUGAGGAAUACAUCGGAAUCUACUUUUUCGUGGGGGAUAACGUAGGGAAACUUACGCUCAUACCGCAUACGACCUACGGGUGAAAGCAGAGGAUCUUCGGAUCUUGCGCGAUUGAAUGAGCUGAUGUCGGUUUAGCUAGUUGGCGGCGUAAAGGCCCAUCAAGGCGACGAUACUUAACUGGUCUGGGAGGAUGAUCACCCACACUGGAACUGAGACACGGUCCGGACUCUUACGGGAGGCAGCAGUGGGGAAUAUUGGACAAGGGGAGCAAGACUGAUCCAGCCAUACCGCGUGGGUGAAGAAGGCCUUCGGGUUGUAAAGCCCUUUUGUUGGGAAAGAAAAGCAGCAGGUUAAUACCCCGCUGUUCUGACGGUACCCAAAGAAUAAGCACCGGCUAACUUCGUG